GAAAUGCGAUAAUUAAUGUGAAUUGCAGAAUUCAGUGAAUCAUCGAGUCUUUGAACGCACAUUGCGCCCCCUGGUAUUCCGGGGGGCAUGCCUGUCCGAGCGUCAUUGCUGCCCCCAAGCACGGCUUGUGUGUUGGGCUUCCGUCCCUGGCAACGGGGACGGGCCCAAAAGGCAGUGGUGGCACCAUGUCUGGUCCUCGAGCGUAUGGGGCUUUGUCACCCGCUCCCGUAGGUCCAGCUGGCAGCUAGCCUCGCAACCAAUCUUUUUAACCAGGUUGACCUCGGAUCAGGUAGGGAUACCCGCUGAACUUAAGC
This 314-nucleotide unclassified non-coding RNA is filed under the name plant metagenome. Its description in RNAcentral is "partial contains 5.8S ribosomal RNA, internal transcribed spacer 2, and large subunit ribosomal RNA". The stretch from base 1 to 105 matches the Rfam family "5.8S ribosomal RNA", at positions 50 to 154 of the family's 154-position model. The record is from RNAcentral.